RNAcentral lists this ribosomal RNA (1576 nucleotides) under Salmonella enterica subsp. enterica serovar Braenderup. Its description in RNAcentral is "partial 23S ribosomal RNA". It matches the Rfam family "Bacterial large subunit ribosomal RNA", at positions 582 to 2141 of the family's 2925-position model. The record is from RNAcentral. Lineage: Bacteria; Pseudomonadati; Pseudomonadota; Gammaproteobacteria; Enterobacterales; Enterobacteriaceae.
GGUUUACCUGUGUGACUGCGUACCUUUUGUAUAAUGGGUCAGCGACUUAUAUUCUGUAGCAAGGUUAACCGUAUAGGGGAGCCGUAGGGAAACCGAGUCUUAACCGGGCGUUAAGUUGCAGGGUAUAGACCCGAAACCCGGUGAUCUAGCCAUGGGCAGGUUGAAGGUUGGGUAACACUAACUGGAGGACCGAACCGACUAAUGUUGAAAAAUUAGCGGAUGACCUGUGGCUGGGGGUGAAAGGCCAAUCAAACCGGGAGAUAGCUGGUUCUCCCCGAAAGCUAUUUAGGUAGCGCCUCGUGAAUUCAUCUCCGGGGGUAGAGCACUGUUUCGGCUAGGGGGCCAUCCCGGCUUACCAACCCGAUGCAAACUGCGAAUACCGGAGAAUGUUAUCACGGGAGACACACGGCGGGUGCUAACGUCCGUCGUGAAGAGGGAAACAACCCAGACCGCCAGCUAAGGUCCCAAAGUCAUGGUUAAGUGGGAAACGAUGUGGGAAGGCCCAGACAGCCAGGAUGUUGGCUUAGAAGCAGCCAUCAUUUAAAGAAAGCGUAAUAGCUCACUGGUCGAGUCGGCCUGCGCGGAAGAUGUAACGGGGCUAAACCAUGCACCGAAGCUGCGGCAGCGACGCUUAUGCGUUGUUGGGUAGGGGAGCGUUCUGUAAGCCUGCGAAGGUGGCCUGUGAGGGUUGCUGGAGGUAUCAGAAGUGCGAAUGCUGACAUAAGUAACGAUAAAGCGGGUGAAAAGCCCGCUCGCCGGAAGACCAAGGGUUCCUGUCCAACGUUAAUCGGGGCAGGGUGAGUCGACCCCUAAGGCGAGGCCGAAAGGCGUAGUCGAUGGGAAACGGGUUAAUAUUCCCGUACUUGGUGUUACUGCGAAGGGGGGACGGAGAAGGCUAUGUUGGCCGGGCGACGGUUGUCCCGGUUUAAGCGUGUAGGUGUGUGUUCCAGGUAAAUCCGGUUCACUUUAACACUGAGGCGUGACGACGAGGCACUACGGUGCUGAAGCAACAAAUGCCCUGCUUCCAGGAAAAGCCUCUAAGCAUCAGGUAACAUCAAAUCGUACCCCAAACCGACACAGGUGGUCAGGUAGAGAAUACCAAGGCGCUUGAGAGAACUCGGGUGAAGGAACUAGGCAAAAUGGUGCCGUAACUUCGGGAGAAGGCACGCUGACACGUAGGUGAAGUGAUUUACUCAUGGAGCUGAAGUCAGUCGAAGAUACCAGCUGGCUGCAACUGUUUAUUAAAAACACAGCACUGUGCAAACACGAAAGUGGACGUAUACGGUGUGACGCCUGCCCGGUGCCGGAAGGUUAAUUGAUGGGGUCAGCGCAAGCGAAGCUCCUGAUCGAAGCCCCGGUAAACGGCGGCCGUAACUAUAACGGUCCUAAGGUAGCGAAAUUCCUUGUCGGGUAAGUUCCGACCUGCACGAAUGGCGUAAUGAUGGCCAGGCUGUCUCCACCCGAGACUCAGUGAAAUUGAACUCGCUGUGAAGAUGCAGUGUACCCGCGGCAAGACGGAAAGACCCCGUGAACCUUUACUAUAGCUUGACACUGAACAUUGAGCCUUGAUGUGUAG